UUUUAUGGUCAAUGUUGCUAAUGAAAUGUUAUUUAUUUGCAUUGUAGAUUUUGUUGGUUCCAUUCGGCGAGGCCAUAUUUAUUUCACGUUUAAUAAAAUUUUAGGUUCAAACUCAUUUUCCUAAUUCUGUGGCCUCGAUUUGACUAUUUUUAUAGUAGUAAUUGAGAAAUAAGUUGAAGAAAAAAUGUUUCUUCUCUGUAUUCUUAUUGUGGUUGAUAAUUUCACUUGUUUACUAGUGAGGACUUACUAUUUGAAUAAGGUUAAUUAUAAAUUUAUGUUUUAUCAUUUACUAUUGUGCUGUCUUUGGAGUUUAUUUGACUAAAAGGUGUUGAAAAUGGUUGCUUUCUGAAGGCUUAAGGUUAGUUAAAUUGGUCGGGCCUUGUGUACAAUGAUUUGAUUUUUGAUUAUAUGCUGGUUUAUGUACAAUGAUUUGAUUUUUGAUUAUAUGCUGGUUUAUGGACUCAAUGGGUCAUUUUAUCUCUAUGUUACCCACCAUUUCGGUGUCACAAGGCAGGUAAAACUUUAUGACAAAAAUCUGGGUUAUAUCCUAAUCGUUAAAUUUACUGAAUUUUGUCCUUAUUAACAGGAUACAGAGAAUGAUUUACCUCUUGCCUUGGAGAAAGAGGGAGCUUGAUAGCAUUUGUAAGAAGCAAGAAAAUUAUUUGAGUCCGAGCCGGAGAAGCUGAAUUAAGUCAUACAUCAACUGGAGGUCAGAAAAAUUGCUGCCUCACUACUGGAGUAUGAUGUGAAAGUUGAGAUGCUAUGGCCGUGUGAAUUUUUUUUCAACUGCAAUGCUAUUCAAAGGUCACAACAGGAGCUUCAAUUGAAUCUGGAAAAUGUGGAGUUUGAUACUCUUGGCUCAUAUAAAAAUGGUCACAAUAUCCAAGGAUGACACUAUUAUUCUUGAUGGAGCUGGUAAGAAGGAAUCCAUAGAGGGAAGACAUGAACACGUUUGUGUUGCUUCAUUCACCUUGUUACUAAAAAGCUAGAGGAGCCUUGAGGUAAAAGAUACUGGGUCUUUUGAUCACUUCAAUUUGUAUACUUAGUUUCAUACACUCCUUUACUUUCUAUGUUGAUGCACGUCCUUAGCAAUUAAAGUUGCCCCUUUCUAUUUGAAUUAAAUAAGCAACCGGU
Molecule: long non-coding RNA, 1134 nt
Organism: Olea europaea var. sylvestris
Lineage: Eukaryota; Viridiplantae; Streptophyta; Magnoliopsida; Lamiales; Oleaceae
Exons: 4
Source: RefSeq, a predicted model, not a curated record